UCAAGGAGUAGUUUAUAAAGAAUUCCAGCUUUGGGUGUUGGUGGUGAGGUUUGAAUGUCUCCUCCUUG
Molecule: transfer RNA, 68 nt
Filed under: Phocoena phocoena (harbor porpoise)
Lineage: Eukaryota; Metazoa; Chordata; Mammalia; Artiodactyla; Phocoenidae
Description: tRNA-Pro
Source: RNAcentral